RNAcentral lists this ribosomal RNA (2007 nucleotides) under Triticum aestivum (bread wheat). RNAcentral describes it as "partial small subunit ribosomal RNA". Lineage: Eukaryota; Viridiplantae; Streptophyta; Magnoliopsida; Poales; Poaceae. The record is from RNAcentral.
AUGCGCCACCGCUUGCUCCUCCUGCUCGUCUUCUUGCUUCCCCAUGAAACCCUCUCCGGCACAACGGCCGCCGCCUCGUGUAACCGCUGGUGCGGCGGCACCAAGGUCCCCUACCCCUUCGGCUUCUCCGACGGCUGCCCCAUCGCCCUGUCCUGCGACGCCAACACCUCCACGCCGAUCCUCCCAUACAGAGGCGACAACGGCACAUCCCCGUACCAUGUCGUGUUCUUCAACUCCACCGCAUCCUCCUUCGUCGUCUCUCUCCCGCCGUCGUGCGCACGCAGCGUCUCCGACGUCAGGAAGGCGCUCUCCGGCCGCAGCUACGACGUCUCUUUCCGCACCGUUCUGAUCCUCCGUGGUGGCUGCCGCGGCAGCAGCGACGCAGCGGCCGGCGCCGGGUGUAGCGUGCCGGCGUCUGCCGUGUCCAGGCUGCUCCGAACGGCGCAGUGCGGCAGGAACGACACCUCCACCGAGGUCGCGUGCGUUGCUUCUGCUGCGCCGAACGCCACGGUGGCGAGGGCGGUGUCUCUGUUCUGGGAGAAGGUCGAGGAGCAAAAGUGUGACGACGUGCUGACCUCCGCUGUAUUCAUGAACACGGCGGAGGGGACGGUGUCGCCGGAGUUUAAGACGGCGGAGUUGGGGUGGUGGGUCAAUGGCACGUGUGCCGGCGGUGAGGCUGGCGGCCAGUGUACGCCGAAGGCCGCGACGUGCUCCGACAUGGAUACACCGAGCGGGGAGAGCGGGUACCGAUGCGCGUGCAUGGCGGGGUCCUACGGCGACGGGUACGCGGCUGGAGAUGGAUGCAACGUCGAUCCAACAUGGGCAAAGUUGAUCGUCGGGGCCGCGUUGGUAACAUGGGCUUUGGUCGUGCUCAUACUUGCUAUCUGCAUAAUUUCUUGUAUCUGUCUCUGCCUCUGCUGUCACCGUCGAAGGCGCAGUAACACGAAGAAAACCAAACAAUCGUUGAAAGCGUUGACAACACUAUUUCGCGGCGAACUUGUCGAUGGCGAGCUCGACCAAGGACUCUCUGGGCCCCGACGAUUUUCUUUCGAGGAGCUCGCUGCAGCGACGGAUAACUUCUCCAAUGACAGGGCGCUCGGGAGAGGAGGCUUUGGGUCUGUGUACCGAGGGUUUAUGAGUGACAUGAACCGCGAAGUGGCUGUCAAGAAGGUGUCAGAGACAUCUCAUCAGGGCUGGAAGGAGUUCCUCUCGGAGGUGCGGAUCAUUAGUCGGCUGAGGCACCGCAACCUCGUGCAGCUCAUCGGCUGGUGCCAUGGCGGCGAUGAGCUCCUCCUUGUCUACGAGCUAAUGCACAAUGGCAGCCUCGACACUCAUUUGUACAGAUCCGACUACGUGCUGACAUGGCCUGUUAGGUACGAGAUAGUGCUCGGCAUAGGUUCCGCACUUCUGUACUUGCAUCAAGACACGGAGCAGCGUGUGGUGCACAGGGACAUCAAGCCAAGCAACAUCAUGCUAGAUGCCUCCUUCACCGCCAAGCUCGGCGACUUCGGGCUCGCGCGGCUCAUCAAUGAUGGCCAGAUAUCGUACAUGACUGACACAGCCGGCACAAUGGGGUACAUCGACCCGGAGAGCGUGCUGGCCGGCACAGCGAGCGUCGAGUCGGAUGUGUACAGCUUCGGGGUCCUCCUCCUCGAGGUCGCAUGUGGUCGGCGGCCAGCUCUAGUCCAGGAAGACGGUGGUGCCGUCCACCUGGUGUCAUGGGUGUGGGACUUGUACAGCGGAGGAUCAAUCCGUGCCGCCGCCGACGAGCGGCUUAGGGGGGAGUUUGACGGUGCGGAGAUGGAGGGUGUUAUGGUCGUGGGGCUCUGGUGUGCGCACCCUGACCGUGGCAUGCGGCCAUCCAUCAGGCAAGCGAUGAACGUGCUGCGGUUCGAAGCGCCAUUGCCGAGCCUCCCGGCAAAGAUGCCGGUGGCGACCUAUGGGCCGCCGACUAAUCCUUUGACUUCAGGAACUUUGGUGCUGAGCAGCAGCAUCAGUGGCCGGUGA